Molecule: long non-coding RNA, 889 nt
Organism: Gallus gallus (chicken)
Lineage: Eukaryota; Metazoa; Chordata; Aves; Galliformes; Phasianidae
Source: Ensembl
GCUUGCUGUGGUUUAAUUAAAAAAAAAAAAAAAAAAGAAAAAAGAAAAUUAAUCUGAAAGUUUAAAAAUUAUUUAGAGGAUACAUUAAGCAUUUGGCUUAACAGAGUUAUAUAAGAAGCUUGUGUUUUUUGUUUACUUUUGUUUUUAUUAUGUUUCUGUAGACAUUUUUUUUUUUUUUCUGUUUUGGUAAAAGCAAGAAUCAGGGUCACCUGUUUUAAGACAGAUCAUGCUGAAAGACUGUCCUGAGGCUGAACAAGAUGUGGUGGGAUUUCCGGAUGGCUCUGCUUUGACAACCAGAGAUGUAUAGAUUUGACAGUUCGUGAGUGUAAUAAUUUGUAGCUUUUUCUUAACCAAGGAUUUUGGUCAAUUUUGUGUUAAUUCACUGCAUUGGAAGUGAACACCAAGAAGUUUAGUCAGAAGAACGAGUAGGACAGUACCUACCUACAUAGAAAUCUAUUGCUUUUUUAAAAAGCCCUUGACUUCAGUGUAGCUUCAGUUUACCUCUGUUGUAGCAGAGACCACAAUAUCAAGUAAAGCAAGCUGAAGGAAGGUAUGAAUGUAAAGAGAUGUUCUUAAUGCAAAUAAUAGUGAGAAGAGUUUGAAUUAUGAUGGAGAUGCCUUGCCAUGACCAGAGGAAGUCUGCAGCAGACUGAGGAACAGAGCUCAACUUUUCUAGAUUUCAACCUAGUGAUCUUGUUCCUCAUUCACAGUUUUGUUUUGCAUAAGAAAGCUGAAAAAGGUCUGAGAAGUUUCACUUUUUUUUAUCCUUUGAUAUUCUGAUUAAGGCACUUUUCCAAACUACUUUUAUUACUGUUUUACUGAAAGAAGGAAUUUUGUGUGGCAUUUUUUAUAUCUUUAUGCAAGAGGGAACAAAGAAUAAUGCUGUCAU